Molecule: non-coding RNA, 76 nt
Organism: Podarcis lilfordi (Lilford's wall lizard)
Lineage: Eukaryota; Metazoa; Chordata; Lepidosauria; Squamata; Lacertidae
Source: the annotation of a GenBank genome assembly
GCACUCCUGUGGUACAAUGGACCAGUGUGUCUGGCUGUUAACCAGGAGGUUGGUGAUUCAAGCCCACCCAAGGACA